UACGAAGGCGGCUAGAGUUGUUCGGAAUCACUGGGCGUAAAGCGCACGCAGGCGGAUCGAUAAGUCGGGGUUGAAAGCCCGGGGCUCAACCUCGGAAUUGCCUUCGAUACUGUCGGUCUCGAGUCCGGGAGAGGUGAGUGGUAGUCCUAGUGUAGAGGUGAAAUUCGUAGAUAUUAGGAAGAACACCAGUGGCGAAGGCGGCUCACUGGCCCGGUACUGACGCUCAGGUGCGAAAGCGUGGGGAGCAAACAGG
This 253-nucleotide ribosomal RNA is filed under the name uncultured bacterium. Its description in RNAcentral is "partial 16S ribosomal RNA". It matches the Rfam family "Bacterial small subunit ribosomal RNA", at positions 524 to 776 of the family's 1533-position model. The record is from RNAcentral.